AACACGUGAGCAACCUGCCCCUGACUCUGGGAUAAGCGCUGGAAACGGCGUCUAAUACUGGAUACGAGUAGCGAUCGCAUGGUCAGCUACUGGAAAGAUUUAUUGGUUGGGGAUGGGCUCGCGGCCUAUCAGCUUGUUGGUGAGGUAAUGGCUCACCAAGGCGUCGACGGGUAGCCGGCCUGAGAGGGUGACCGGCCACACUGGGACUGAGACACGGCCCAGACUCCUACGGGAGGCAGCAGUGGGGAAUAUUGCACAAUGGGCGCAAGCCUGAUGCAGCAACGCCGCGUGAGGGAUGACGGCCUUCGGGUUGUAAACCUCUUUUAGCAGGGAAGAAGCGAAAGUGACGGUACCUGCAGAAAAAGCGCCGGCUAACUACGUGCCAGCAGCCGCGGUAAUACGUAGGGCGCAAGCGUUAUCCGGAAUUAUUGGGCGUAAAGAGCUCGUAGGCGGUUUGUCGCGUCUGCUGUGAAAUCCGGAGGCUCAACCUCCGGCCUGCAGUGGGUACGGGCAGACUAGAGUGCGGUAGGGGAGAUUGGAAUUCCUGGUGUAGCGGUGGAAUGCGCAGAUAUCAGGAGGAACACCGAUGGCGAAGGCAGAUCUCUGGGCCGUAACUGACGCUGAGGAGCGAAAGGGUGGGGA
RNAcentral lists this ribosomal RNA (642 nucleotides) under Microbacterium phyllosphaerae. Its description in RNAcentral is "bacterial SSU rRNA". It matches the Rfam family "Bacterial small subunit ribosomal RNA", at positions 112 to 767 of the family's 1533-position model. The record is from RNAcentral. Lineage: Bacteria; Bacillati; Actinomycetota; Actinomycetes; Micrococcales; Microbacteriaceae.